This is a long non-coding RNA of Juglans microcarpa x Juglans regia, 517 nucleotides long. RefSeq lists it as uncharacterized. The record is from RefSeq and is a predicted model, not a curated record. Lineage: Eukaryota; Viridiplantae; Streptophyta; Magnoliopsida; Fagales; Juglandaceae. The transcript is spliced from 2 exons.
CAUGUUGUGGAUUUGUUGUUGGCGUGUGGGACGGGAUGCUGGGUUGCUGUAUUGAUUGUUGCAUGCCGUGUGCGAGGGACAGUGUCCACAUAAUACCAAAAUUAAGGAGACUACAUAUAUGAGGUUGGGUAAGGCCUAAGAGAGCAUGCAAGCGCAGAUGACAUGGGGCUAUUUUCCUUCUCCCGUUAUAUCAUUCUGGUCUUAUUACUCUCUGCAGGAAUCUUGGUCAUGCAGCCUUAUCAAAUCAGUGCAGAUAUUGAAGUAAGAAAACUAGCUACCAAACCUUUUCCAAGUCCUCCUCCACCAAUAGCGAACCUGGGGAAAAGCCCAAAUCUACGAAGUCCAAUGCCUCGGGCUAAAGGUGCACCAAAACCAAGAAAACCUCCUGGUAGUCCUGUGGUGUAGAAAUGAUCGGUAAAACUUACAAUAUCACUUAAUUAGAAGAGUGACAAAGAGUUUGAUUAGCAUAAGUUCUUAAAGAAGCAAGAGUGGAAUAUUUCUGCAUACUUUCUUUUUA